GUCUGCAUGGAGCCGACCUUGAAAUACCACCCUUUAAUGUUUGAUGUUCUAACGUGGACCCGUAAUCCGGGUUGCGGACAGUGUCUGGUGGGUAGUUUGACUGGGGCGGUCUCCUCCUAAAGAGUAACGGAGGAGCACGAAGGUUGGCUAAUCCUGGUCGGACAUCAGGAGGUUAGUGCAAUGGCAUAAGCCAGCUUGACUGCGAGCGUGACGGCGCGAGCAGGUGCGAAAGCAGGUCAUAGUGAUCCGGUGGUUCUGAAUGGAAGGGCCAUCGCUCAACGGAUAAAAGGUACUCCGGGGAUAACAGGCUGAUACCGCCCAAGAGUUCAUAUCGACGGCGGUGUUUGGCACCUCGAUGUCGGCUCAUCACAUCCUGGGGCUGAAGUAGGUCCCAAGGGUAUGGCUGUUCGCCAUUUAAAGUGGUACGCGAGCUGGGUUUAGAACGUCGUGAGACAGUUCGGUCCCUAUCUGCCGUGGGCGCUGGAGAACUGAGGGAGGCUGCUCCUAGUACGAGAGGACCGGAGUGGACGCAUCACUGGUGUUCGGGUUGUCAUGCCAAUGGCACUGCCCGGUAGCUAAAUGCGGAAGAGAUAAGUGCUGAAAGCAUCUAAGCACGAAACUUGCCCCGAGAUGAGUUCUCCCUGAGACUUUAGGUCUCCUGAAGGAACGUUGAAGACGACGACGUUGAUAGGCCGGGUGUGUAAGCGCAGCGAUGCGUUGAGCUAACCGGUACUAAUGAACCGUGAGGCUUAACCUUACAACGCCGAAG
RNAcentral lists this ribosomal RNA (769 nucleotides) under Salmonella enterica. RNAcentral describes it as "partial 23S ribosomal RNA". It matches the Rfam family "Bacterial large subunit ribosomal RNA", at positions 2174 to 2925 of the family's 2925-position model. Lineage: Bacteria; Pseudomonadati; Pseudomonadota; Gammaproteobacteria; Enterobacterales; Enterobacteriaceae. The record is from RNAcentral.